This 497-nucleotide ribosomal RNA is filed under the name uncultured bacterium. RNAcentral's name for it is "partial 16S ribosomal RNA". It matches the Rfam family "Bacterial small subunit ribosomal RNA", at positions 28 to 507 of the family's 1533-position model. The record is from RNAcentral.
GAUGAACGCUGGCGGCGUGCCUAAUACAUGCAAGUCGAGCGAACGGACGAGAAGCUUGCUUUUCUGAUGUUAGCGGCGGACGGGUGAGUAACACGUGGAUAACCUACCUAUAAGACUGGGAUAACUUCGGGAAACCGGAGCUAAUACCGGAUAAUAUUUUGAACCGCAUGGUUCAAAAGUGAAAGACGGUCUUGCUGUCACUUAUAGAUGGAUCCGCGCUGCAUUAGCUAGUUGGUAAGGUAACGGCCUACCAAGGCAACGAUGCAUAGCCGACCUGAAAGGGUGAUCGGCCACACUGGAACUGCGACACGGUCCAGACUCCUACGGGAGGCAGCAGUAGGGCAUCUUCCGCAAUGGGCGACAGCCUGACGGAGCAACGCCGCGUGAGUGAUGAAGGUCUUCGGAUCGUAAAACUCUGUUAUUAGGGAAGAACAUAUGUGUAAGUAACUGUGCACAUCUUGACGGUACCUAAUCAGAAAGCCACGGCUAACUACGUG